This 336-nucleotide transfer-messenger RNA is filed under the name Arboricoccus pini. RNAcentral describes it as "Alphaproteobacteria transfer-messenger RNA". It matches the Rfam family "Alphaproteobacteria transfer-messenger RNA". Rfam says of the family: Bacterial tmRNA, also known as 10Sa RNA or SsrA, is named for its dual tRNA and mRNA-like properties. Its role is to liberate the mRNA from a stalled ribosome. To accomplish this part of the tmRNA is used as a reading frame that ends in a translation stop signal. The record is from RNAcentral. Lineage: Bacteria; Pseudomonadati; Pseudomonadota; Alphaproteobacteria; Geminicoccales; Geminicoccaceae.
GGCCGUUGCAUGCACCUCGGAACCGCUUAUAUUCAAAGACGCCGGUAGCUCCGGCUAUGGCGAUAAACGCCGUUCAGAAUAAGCGUUACGGACCCGGGGGCAGAGCCCGGCGCCUCCACCAUCCUUGACUGAGGCCGAGGUGAUUGCUCGGCUGGGACCGAGGGGGCGAAUUAGGAUCGACGUGCGUGGUAAAGGGACGGCUUUUGCCCGGCAUGGUUCCGCCGUUAUCGGGCCGAAUACAAGUGCCAACGAUAACCGUUCGGUCACCGCUCUCGCUGCCUAAUCAGCAGUGAAAAGCGCGGCUCGGGGGGCGCCGGGCAACAGAAGCCCCCCACU